CCCUUCCCCAAUGCCAGUCACCACCAGCUUGCACGCGUCUGCCACCACCACUCUUUGGGAACCAACUGAGCACGUGUGGGGUGUAUGGAUCGACAGGGCUCAGGGGCAGCUGCUGAGGCUGGGGGGUGGGGUCAGGGGUCAGUCCCAGCACCCACCCCCUGCCCUCCUGGGUCAGGCCACUCAGCCAGUGACCUCGUGCUGUGUGGCUCGGUCGGCAAGGCCCCCCUGAGAGCCGGCUGGCCGAGGCAGCCCCAUGAGCAAGCGGGUUUUAAUUGUUUCUUCUCCAGCCUUGUUUAUGACUCGAUAAAAUCUAUAACACAGAGAGUGCCUGUCCUCCUCGGCUCCCUGCCUCCGCCCGGCUCUCGCUCCCUGGGGACCCAGCUCUGCUCUUUAUAGAAACCACUUGCUAAACUGGACCCACUUUAAACCCGUAAUUGUCAGUAAAUGACCCUCCCAGAAAAGAAGCUGCAAGUUAAGUGUGAAGCUCUCAGCUGAACAUGGAUCGAUGGCCUCUGCCUUCCCAGGAACUCGAUCCUCCUCCCGGGAGCAGAGACCCCCUCCCAGGCCAGCCCCCAAGCCUCCGGCCUGUGCCACCCACUAGGGAAGAGGGGAGGGGCCUGGACAUGUCGCGAGGAGAGGAGCGGACGUGGGUGCCGGCCUGGGCCUGUCACCAACUCUGAGCCCCUGGAGCUCAGAUGAGCUCUUCCAUCCCGAACCAUCCUCGCCUUCCCGGGACUCAGGACAAAAUCAGAGGCCCCUCCAGCGUGCCUUAGCAAGCCCAGCCUGCUCCCGGGACCCAGAGAGCCAAGCCAGGGGUCCCCAACACGGGGGUCCAGACAGCACACGUGUGCCCCACGCCCUGCCCGCCGAUACCAUCCAUGCGUCUCACACACCUGUGGCUGGCUGUCAAGAGCGAGAAGCUGCUGCUGUGAUGAAUAAGGUGGCAUCCACAGGCACAUCACCAGUUCCUCCGGGCAGGCCGGGCACAGGACAGACACGCCGCCUGUUUGUUGAGCGACUUACAGAUCUUCUCCACACCUGCACACUCAGCCUCCGGGGAUCAGCCACGUCUGAGAAAGCUGACACCCACCCCCGCUUCCCCCCCAUCCCAGGGAGGCCACACAAAAGUGCGGAGUCUGCUGUGUUCCUUCCUGAUGUUUAAGGAUAAAGAAGAGAAAAAAAAACCCAUCUACUCGCACCAAAGAAAACGAGGGGGCCUUAUUGGAGUGCCAAUGAGAUCUAACUAGCACAAUGGGGCUGUGUUGGUUUUCCUUUGCAAACAUCCUCUUUACUUGUGGGGCCCUCGGGGUGGGGUGUGUCAUGCUUGUUUCUUAUUCCUGCCUUGCUUCAUGCCUCGACUCCGCACAGAUGGACUUGGGACGAAGGACUGUGCACUCAGAGGGGGCAGCAGGGGUCUGGGAAGCCAACGGAGGCAGCAGCCCCGUGGGGACGUGGGGGCAUGGCAGGGGGUGAGCGUGGUCCCUGGAGCCCCUUCGGAGGUGGGGUAGGGGAGCAGACAGCCGGGAGGGGCCGCCAGCGGGGGUGAAGACAGCUUCGGCUUCCAGCUCUUCAGGGCCUGCCGCGCUCCAGGUCCUCUGCUAUUUUCCAUUCAUCAUCCCUCACCC
This is a long non-coding RNA of Bubalus bubalis (water buffalo), 1625 nucleotides long. RefSeq lists it as uncharacterized. Lineage: Eukaryota; Metazoa; Chordata; Mammalia; Artiodactyla; Bovidae. The transcript is spliced from 3 exons. The record is from RefSeq and is a predicted model, not a curated record.